This 425-nucleotide ribosomal RNA is filed under the name uncultured bacterium. Its description in RNAcentral is "partial 16S ribosomal RNA". It matches the Rfam family "Bacterial small subunit ribosomal RNA", at positions 28 to 526 of the family's 1533-position model. The record is from RNAcentral.
GACGAACGCUGGCGGCGUGCUUAACACAUGCAAGUCGAGCGGAGCGGCGAACGGGUGAGUAACGCGUGAGUAACUGCCCCCCCCUCUGGGAUAACAGUUGGAAACGGCUGCUAAUACCGGAUAGUGGGGGAUGACUCGCGUCCUAUCAGCUUGUUGGUGGGGUAUGGGCCUACCAAGGCGACGACGGGUAGCCGGACUGAGAGGGCGACCGGCCACAUUGGGCUGGGAUACGGCCCAAACUCCUACGGGAGGCAGCAGUGGGGAAUAUUGCACAAUGGGGGAAACCCUGAUGCAGCAACGCGCGUGCGGGAUGACGGUCUUCGGAUCGUAAAACUCUGUUAUUAGGGAAGAAGUAACUGUGCACAUCUUGACGGUACCUAAUCAGAAAGCCACGGCUAACUACGUGCCAGCAGCCGCGGUAAUAC